RNAcentral lists this ribosomal RNA (484 nucleotides) under uncultured bacterium. Its description in RNAcentral is "partial 16S ribosomal RNA". It matches the Rfam family "Bacterial small subunit ribosomal RNA", at positions 30 to 507 of the family's 1533-position model. The record is from RNAcentral.
AUUGAACGCUGGCGGCAUGCUUUACACAUGCAAGUCGAACGGCAGCGCGGGCUUCGGCCUGGCGGCGAGUGGCGAACGGGUGAGUAAUACAUCGGAACGUGCCUAGUAGUGGGGGAUAGCUCGGCGAAAGCCGGAUUAAUACCGCAUACGACCUGAGGGUGAAAGCGGGGGAUCUUCGGACCUCGCGCUAUUGGAGCGGCCGAUGGCAGAUUAGCUAGUUGGUGGGGUAAAGGCCUACCAAGGCGACGAUCUGUAGCUGGUCUGAGAGGACGACCAGCCACACUGGGACUGAGACACGGUCCAGACUCCUACGGGAGGCAGCAGUGGGAAAUUUUGGACAAUGGGCGAAAGCCUGAUCCAGCAAUGCCGCGUGUGUGAUGAAGGCCUUCGGGUUGUAAAGCACUUUUGGCGGGAACGAAAAGGACUGUGCCAAUACCACGGUUCGAUGACGGUACCCGCAGAAUAAGCACCGGCUAACUACGUG